Molecule: long non-coding RNA, 1726 nt
Organism: Mauremys mutica (yellowpond turtle)
Lineage: Eukaryota; Metazoa; Chordata; Testudines; Geoemydidae
Exons: 6
Source: RefSeq, a predicted model, not a curated record
ACUUCCCCAUCAUUAUCUCCCUCAAUCUAAACCUUGAUGGGCUACGUCUAAGGGUGAAGGCAGUUCAGUGCCUCUUUUUGAAGGAGUGUCAUUUGUGUCUGUGGUGCAUGUGUGUGAUAUGAACUCUAAUGCUAGGAACUAGACUGAGCCCUCAAAUUUAUUUCACAUAGAACGCCGAACAAUUAUCUGAUGAUUAUUCCUGUCAGCCACUACUGAUUUAGGUUGGAUUCAAACUAGUAAACUAAAGGUGAAAGCCUAUAAACUAUCCUAUUCCCUAAUAAAUCACUAGUUAUAAAGGUGUGGUCCUAUUUUCAUUGAAAUAUAAUGGCAGGAUCAGGCCUAGUUGUGUAAUCUAAACAGGAUCGUGCCAGGUCAUAUGAUGUAGGACUUGUGCCCGUUUUUCAUUUUAUGUUUUUUCUUAAAAAUGAGGCACAUUAGAAACCCUUUGCUUUUUUAUCGUCAAAUCUGUCUAUGGGAGUGUGGAGAGCAGGAUUACUUGGAACACAGCUUGAUACACCAAAUGCAGAGAGUUGCCUAAUUUUUUUUAUUUCAUCCCUGCUAUGUUGUGCCCUCCCUAUGCACCCACUCCAGUCCCAGACAUGUCAGCACAAGAUAUUAAAAAGGGGAAUCUAGUUAAAACUUCAGUUUUACUCUAUCUGUGAACUUGCUUAACAUUCUCCAUGAACAGGUUCACCUGUGAGAUAAAAGUCUCAGUGGUGGACAAUCACCUCUCCAGAUGGUGAGAUGAUGGUCUGUCUCAGAACCUUACAAUAUUCACUUUAAUUGUUCUUUAAACAUGGUUGAAUGGAUGAGCAGCUGGGCUGCUGUUUGUUCUCUGCACCAAAGAUGUGAAAUAUACAAGACACAUCUGUUUGAGACAUUGCAAAGCUCCAAAUUCCUUCAUUAAAUCCAGAGGAGAAAGAAAGAACUUUCAAGAACCAGCAAAGAAAAUAUGUUAAAACUCCAAAUUCUAAAGAGCUAGCCCAUCUGGGCAGAGCAACAAGAUUACAAUCAAGAAUGAUGCAGAGAAGCCAUGUAAUGAAAGCCAAGACCACACUGGGACUCCAUGAUGCAACUGUCAAAAGCCCCUUAUGAAGAGGAGCCAAGGGCAACUUUCAGACUUGAGAACCUCUGCAACAAGUCAGAUCUGCUACACUUUAGUAUUGGGCAACCAUCAUGGUGCGAUGAUCUGCUAAGCCUGAAAAUGAAGAUUUGUGCUGGAAAGCCUGGCAGACCCUAAAAUGCAGCAUUGCAAGUCGUGGGAAUGUAAUAAUGUGCCCAUUGGAAAACUGAGAGCUGAUCCAAUAGCUCAUGGAUCCAUGUUCGGAAACGGUUGUUGUGUUCCAGGUGAUAAAGAAGCAAAUGGCCAUGAAGCCUUCCAGUCUAAGCACCUGAGAGAAAUCCAGAGCCAAGCAUUUCCUCCAGGAAUUCAGGAGACAGAUACGUUUCAUCUUGCUGCUAGGGCACAGUCAGAAAGGAGUAGUUUGAACUUCUUCCUGCUGCUCCUUGGAGGAACAAAGGAGACACUUCUGAAUCCAGUCCUCUCUGGGGACUUACCACCACCCACCCGUCACCCUCUGUAAACAUGGGCCGUCUUGAAAGGACAGUGUCUGGGAUCUGGGGACUGCCUUUGAAUGGGGGAGACCCAUGGGGGACAGAAUGGAUCACUCACUCAGCUCAGAAGACCAGCAGGCACGCUCUGAACUGUCAAAACUCUUGUAGCACC